UACGUAGGUGGCAAGCGUUGUCCGGAUUUAUUGGGUUUAAAGGGUGCGUAGGCGGCUUUGUAAGUCAGUGGUGAAAUACUCUAGCUUAACUAGAGGGGUGCCAUUGAUACUGCGGAGCUUGAGUACAGAUGAGGUGGGCGGAAUUGACGGUGUAGCGGUGAAAUGCAUAGAUAUCGUCAAGAACACCGAUAGCGAAGGCAGCUUACUGGGCUGUAACUGACGCUGAUGCACGAAAGUGUGGGGAGCAAACAGG
RNAcentral lists this ribosomal RNA (253 nucleotides) under uncultured bacterium. Its description in RNAcentral is "partial 16S ribosomal RNA". It matches the Rfam family "Bacterial small subunit ribosomal RNA", at positions 524 to 776 of the family's 1533-position model. The record is from RNAcentral.